UACAGAGGGGGCAAGCGUUGUUCGGAAUUACUGGGCGUAAAGGGCGCGUAGGCGGCCUCUUAAGUCGGACGUGAAAUCCCUCGGCUCAACCGGGGAACUGCGUCCGAUACUGGCGGGCUUGAAUUCGGGAGAGGGAUGUGGAAUUCCAGGUGUAGCGGUGAAAUGCGUAGAUAUCUGGAGGAACACCGGUGGCGAAGGCGGCAUCCUGGACCGACAUUGACGCUGAGGCGCGAAAGCCAGGGGAGCAAACGGG
This 253-nucleotide ribosomal RNA is filed under the name uncultured bacterium. Its description in RNAcentral is "partial 16S ribosomal RNA". It matches the Rfam family "Bacterial small subunit ribosomal RNA", at positions 524 to 776 of the family's 1533-position model. The record is from RNAcentral.